Molecule: long non-coding RNA, 210 nt
Filed under: Theropithecus gelada (gelada)
Lineage: Eukaryota; Metazoa; Chordata; Mammalia; Primates; Cercopithecidae
Description: lncRNA (ENSTGEG00000023515.1)
Source: RNAcentral
UUUACCAGAGAUGACUGAUAACACCCUGUAACAGCUGAGAGGAAAAUGGAAGAAGCAGUGAUACUUUUAGUGAAACAGAAUAAACCACUGAACAGGAGAAAUGAGGAAGCCGUGAGUACCAGUGGAAGGACCAAGCCAGGAAGAGGGACUGGAACCAUCUCAGAAGCCGUUCCCCUCAGCCUGGAACUUGCCCUGUCUCCUCGCAGAUGA